AAUGAACGCUGGCGGCGCGGAUUAGGCAUGCAAGUCGAGCGAGAAAGGGUAGCAAUACCCGAGUAAAGCGGCAAACUGGUUAGUAACAGGUGGGCAAUGUGCCCCGAAGUGGGGGAUAACUCCGAGAAAUCGGAACUAAUACCGCAUAUGGCCGUCGGGACUUCGGUCCGGACGGUUAAAGGCUUUGGUCGCUUCGGGAUCGGCCCGCCCCGGAUUAGCUUGUUGGCGAGGUAACGGCUCACCAAGGCGACGAUCCGUAGCUGGUCUGAGAGGAUGGUCAGCAACACUGGAACUGAGACACGGCCCAGACUCCUACGGGAGGCAGCAGGUGGGGAAUCUUGCGCAAUGGGCGAAAGCCUGACGCAGCGACGCCGCGUGAGGGAUGACGGCC
This 391-nucleotide ribosomal RNA is filed under the name uncultured bacterium. Its description in RNAcentral is "bacterial SSU rRNA". It matches the Rfam family "Bacterial small subunit ribosomal RNA", at positions 29 to 416 of the family's 1533-position model. The record is from RNAcentral.